RNAcentral lists this ribosomal RNA (446 nucleotides) under uncultured bacterium. Its description in RNAcentral is "partial 16S ribosomal RNA". It matches the Rfam family "Bacterial small subunit ribosomal RNA", at positions 354 to 796 of the family's 1533-position model. The record is from RNAcentral.
GUGAGGAAUAUUGCGCAAUGGACGAAAGUCUGACGCAGCCAUGCCGCGUGAAGGAUUGACGGUCCUAUGGGUUGUAAACUUCUUUUGUAUAGGAAUAAACCCUCGUUCGUGAACGAGGCUGAAGGUACUAUAAGAAUAAGCACCGGCUAACUCCGUGCCAGCAGCCGCGGUAAUACGGAGGGUGCAAGCGUUAUCCGGAUUUAUUGGGUUUAAAGGGUCCGUAGGCGGAUCGUUAAGUCAGUGGUGAAAUCCUACCGCUCAACGGUAGAACUGCCAUUGAUACUAGCGAUCUUGAGUAUGUAUGAAGUUGGCGGAAUGUGUGGUGUAGCGGUGAAAUGCUUAGAUAUCACACAGAACACCGAUUGCGAAGGCAGCUGACUAAUACACAAAUGACGCUGAGGGACGAAAGUGUGGGGAUCAAACAGGAUUAGAUACCCUAGUAGUCC